GACGAACGCUGGCGGCGUGCUUAACACAUGCAAGUCGAACGCUGAAGCUCAGCUUUUGCUGGGCGGAUGAGUGGCGAACGGGUGAGUAACACGUGAGUAACCUGCCUCCUUCUUUGGGAUAACGCCUGGAAACGGGGGCUAAUACUGGAUAUUCACUGUUCUUCGCAUGGGGGCUGGUGGAAAGGGCGUUUCUGGUGUGGGAUGGGCUCGCGGCCUGUCGGCUUGUUGGUGGGGUUAUGGUCUAACAAGGCGUUGGCGGGUAGCCGGCCUGAGCGGGUGACCGGUAACAGUGGGACUGUGCUGAGGCCCAGGGUCGUCCGGGGGGCAGCAGUGGGGAAUAUUGGACAAUGGGCGAAGGCCUAAUGCAGCGACGCCGAGUGAGGGAUGGGGGCCUUAGGGUUGUGAACCUCUUUCGCUCAUGAUCAAGCCGCAACAAUGGUUGUGGUGAGGGUAGUGAGUAAGGAAGCGCCGGCUAACUACGUG
Molecule: ribosomal RNA, 483 nt
Filed under: uncultured bacterium
Lineage: Bacteria
Description: partial 16S ribosomal RNA
Rfam family: Bacterial small subunit ribosomal RNA
Source: RNAcentral